UGGGGAAUAUUGCACAAUGGGCGCAAGCCUGAUGCAGCCAUGCCGCGUGUAUGAAGAAGGCCUUCGGGUUGUAAAGUACUUUCAGCGAGGAGGAAGGCGUUGUGGUUAAUAACCGCAGCGAUUGACGUUACUCGCAGAAGAAGCACCGGCUAACUCCGUGCCAGCAGCCGCGGGAAUACGGAGGGUGCAAGCGUUAAUCGGAAUUACUGGGCGUAAAGCGCACGCAGGCGGUCUGUCAAGUCGGAUGUGAAAUCCCCGGGCUCAACCUGGGAACUGCAUCCGAAACUGGCAGGCUAGAGUCUUGUAGAGGGGGGUAGAAUUCCAGGUGUAGCGGUGAAAUGCGUAGAGAUCUGGAGGAAUACCGGUGGCGAAGGCGGCCCCCUGGACAAAGACUGACGCUCAGGUGCGAAAGCGUGGGGAGCAAACA
Molecule: ribosomal RNA, 427 nt
Filed under: uncultured bacterium
Lineage: Bacteria
Description: partial 16S ribosomal RNA
Rfam family: Bacterial small subunit ribosomal RNA
Source: RNAcentral